UGGGGAAUUUUGGACAAUGGGCGAAAGCCUGAUCCAGCAAUGCCGCGUGUGUGAAGAAGGCCUUCGGGUUGUAAAGCACUUUUGUCCGGAAAGAAAUCCUUGGCUCUAAUACAGUCGGGGGAUGACGGUACCGGAAGAAUAAGCACCGGCUAACUACGUGCCAGCAGCCGCGGUAAUACGUAGGGUGCAAGCGUUAAUCGGAAUUACUGGGCGUAAAGCGUGCGCAGGCGGUUUGCUAAGACCGAUGUGAAAUCCCCGGGCUCAACCUGGGAACUGCAUUGGUGACUGGCAGGCUAGAGUAUGGCAGAGGGGGGUAGAAUUCCACGUGUAGCAGUGAAAUGCGUAGAGAUGUGGAGGAAUACCGAUGGCGAAGGCAGCCCCCUGGGCCAAAUACUGACGCUCAUGCACGAAAGCGUGGGGAGCAAACAGGAUUAGAUACCCUGGUAGUCCACGCCCUAAACGAUGUCAACUAGUUGUUGGGGAUUCAUUUCCUUAGUAACGUAGCUAACGCGUGAAGUUGACCGCCUGGGGAGUACGGUCGCAAGAUUAAAACUCAAAGAAAUUGACGGGGU
RNAcentral lists this ribosomal RNA (572 nucleotides) under uncultured bacterium. RNAcentral describes it as "partial 16S ribosomal RNA". It matches the Rfam family "Bacterial small subunit ribosomal RNA", at positions 355 to 919 of the family's 1533-position model. The record is from RNAcentral.